CGAGGUAAUAGUUGGCUGUCAGCGACAGCGGCAAUCAAUGGCGAAGUUGGCGGGUGUUUGGCGGUAGUCAGUAAUCAACGACAGUUGCUACUCGGGAUCGACCACUUCUGCACCAAUCCAGACGACCACAAUGAGCAUCCAACUCCCAAACUUGAAAGCCGAAUUCUAAAUAACGAAAUCCAAACUGAGUAAAACAACAAAAGCAGCGCCAACAAGAAAAUAGAAAUCUCUCUCUCGCUCUCUCUCUCACCCGGAGGGUCGGCGAUAGGGGGAAUGUCGAUGGGCUGGUCGAUUGAGACUGAAUCCGUUAAGCCUCUAUCAACGUCGAAGAACAACAAUCGACCCAAAACACCACUUCCAUUCACCGUCAUCACGCUGCGCAGCAAUCGAACCCUACUUUUAAAGGUUUAGGACAAUAGCUGCGACAGUUCACGUUUAUCCGAAGGGGAGGACUCACUCAUUCACCUCCAAAGCCGCCCUGAGGAGAAAAUUGUCCGUUCGAACACAGCCUCACAGAAAAAUUGUCAUAUUAAUGAGCUCUUGGCCUUCUGCUUUAUAGGUAGACUUACGAGGUUUGCAUGGAAAUCCUUUGAUCGACAAUUUGAAAGUGCGCCGGCGCG
This 620-nucleotide long non-coding RNA is filed under the name Physcomitrium patens. RNAcentral's name for it is "long non-coding RNA (PPAT_LNC008299)". The record is from RNAcentral. Lineage: Eukaryota; Viridiplantae; Streptophyta; Bryopsida; Funariales; Funariaceae.